UACGUAGGGGGCAAGCGUUGUCCGGAUUUACUGGGCGUAAAGAGCGCGUAGGCGGAAGCUUAAGUGUGGCCUGAAAGCCCCCGGCUCAACCGGGGAAGGUGGCUGCAAACUGGGCUUCUUGAGGGGGAUAGGGGAAAGUGGAAUUCCGGGUGUAGCGGUGAAAUGCGUAGAGAUCCGGAGGAACACCAGUGGCGAAGGCGGCUUUCUGGGUCCGCCCUGACGCUGAGGCGCGAAAGCGUGGGGAGCGAACAGG
RNAcentral lists this ribosomal RNA (253 nucleotides) under uncultured bacterium. RNAcentral describes it as "partial 16S ribosomal RNA". It matches the Rfam family "Bacterial small subunit ribosomal RNA", at positions 524 to 776 of the family's 1533-position model. The record is from RNAcentral.